AUUGAACGCUGGCGGCAGGCCUAACACAUGCAAGUCGAGCGGAUGAAGGGAGCUUGCUCCUGGAUUCAGCGGCGGACGGGUGAGUAAUGCCUAGGAAUCUGCCUGGUAGUGGGGGAUAACGUCCGGAAACGGGCGCUAAUACCGCAUACGUCCUGAGGGAGAAAGUGGGGGAUCUUCGGACCUCACGCUAUCAGAUGAGCCUAGGUCGGAUUAGCUAGUUGGUGGGGUAAAGGCCUACCAAGGCGACGAUCCGUAACUGGUCUGAGAGGAUGAUCAGUCACACUGGAACUGAGACACGGUCCAGACUCCUACGGGAGGCAGCAGUGGGGAAUAUUGGACAAUGGGCGAAAGCCUGAUCCAGCCAUGCCGCGUGUGUGAAGAAGGUCUUCGGAUUGUAAAGCACUUUAAGUUGGGAGGAAGGGCAGUAAGUUAAUACCUUGCUGUUUUGACCUUACCAACAGAAUAAGCACCGGCUAACUUCGUG
This 484-nucleotide ribosomal RNA is filed under the name uncultured bacterium. RNAcentral's name for it is "partial 16S ribosomal RNA". It matches the Rfam family "Bacterial small subunit ribosomal RNA", at positions 30 to 507 of the family's 1533-position model. The record is from RNAcentral.